UGAUAGGCUUUAUAGUGUGUGAAUGUCAUCCUCCUUCUAAGAUAAUUUUGACCUCCGCUUCUUAGCACAGCCAUGAAUUAAAGGUAGUACUGCUCCCUUUUUACACUAAGGUAUGAACACAUUCAUUUUCAUGAGCAAGACUAAAACCUGUGUUCCUGAAGAGCUUUAAAAGAACUGGAACUAACUACAUAUUCAAAGGAACUUAUGAGCUUGUUUCAAGUCUCACCC
Macrobrachium nipponense is the source of this 228-nucleotide long non-coding RNA. RefSeq lists it as uncharacterized. The transcript is spliced from 3 exons. NCBI's taxonomy places the organism in Eukaryota, Metazoa, Arthropoda, Malacostraca, Decapoda, Palaemonidae. The record is from RefSeq and is a predicted model, not a curated record.